AAAAAUGACUUAUAAACUUUAGUCAGGGUAGCAUCAUAUUUAAUUUUUGACAGGAAUGAAAACGAGGCUGUGAGGAAUAGAAGCACAGUG
Molecule: long non-coding RNA, 90 nt
Organism: Sinocyclocheilus rhinocerous
Lineage: Eukaryota; Metazoa; Chordata; Actinopteri; Cypriniformes; Cyprinidae
Exons: 3
Source: RefSeq, a predicted model, not a curated record